Molecule: ribosomal RNA, 831 nt
Filed under: Triticum aestivum (bread wheat)
Lineage: Eukaryota; Viridiplantae; Streptophyta; Magnoliopsida; Poales; Poaceae
Description: partial small subunit ribosomal RNA
Source: RNAcentral
AUGUCUAGCAGCUCGGCCUCGCCGGCUAACUACGAUGAGCACCCAGUGGAGACGUCGUCGUCGUCGAGAUCCCUGGCGAACACCGUCACCGUGGCGCACAACUUCGAGAUCACUAGUUACUCGCUGCUCGACGGCUUUCAUCCCGGCGACUACAUUUGCUCGAGAAGGUUCACCGCCGGUGGUUACGACUGGUGUAUCAGGUUCUACCCUAACGGACAUACAGAGGAGGAUGCUUUCUACACCUCGGCCUUCUUGUGUCUAUGUCGAGGAGAACCAUGGCCGGGCGUAAGAGCCAAGUUCUUCUCUAAGAAGCAUAUCGUCGAUGACUGCUUCACAAUCAGGUGCGUCUUGACCGUCAUCACGCAACACACGGAGGACCGAAGCUUCGUCGUCAUCCCCCGGUCGGACCUCCGCGACCACCUGGUAGACAUGCUGGAGGGCGGGGAAGGCACGGAGGCGGAGCUCUUUAGCGGAAUGGAGGAGAACGCUACUCGACACAUCAAGGUCGACGACAUGGAGCCCACCAUCUUCCAGGCACUCCUCCACUUCAUCUACACGGAUACCUUCCCACAUGACAGUGGUGUAGACAAGAAUGCGCCAUUGCAACACUUGUUCGUUGCCGCGGAUCGUGACAUCCAGCAGACCGAUGGAUUCAAGCAUCUCAUAUCCAGCUGCCCUUCAGUUGUAGGGGACAUCAUAAACAACAUCACCGUCGCUAGUGGUGGUAGGGAUGCCAAAAGAGCUCGAGUCGAAGCCACUCACAGCGACUCAUCUUCUAGCUACACCGGAGAUUUACUCCAAAAUAAAUUUGUAGAGCAUGAGUCUAUAUAA